UACAGCUGAAGCUCAAGAUAGUGGAAAAAGACAACAGGAAGCUGAAGGAAACAGAAAAGGCCUCCUCUCAGGAAGUAGUCACACCUGAAUUGCUUUGCUUAAGGAAGCAAAGCCAAGACCUGGUGGAUGAGAACGAGGGCCUGAAGAUGAUUAUCCAUCGCCUGAAUGUAGAACUCAGUCGCUACCAGACAAAAUUCCGGCCUUUGUCUGAGGAAGAGAGUUCCUAUAUUGAAGGCCUCCCAUCUAAGGGCCCCACACCCCCCUGGUUGGUGGAUAUAAAGUACCUCUCACCCCUGUUGCUGGCAAAGCAGCCCAGUACCAGAAGGAGGUGAAGCACCUGCACCACAUGCUGCAGAGGAAGCAGGAGGUCCUGGAUGAGGCACUGCAGCAGAAAAGAAAUAUGGAAGGUGAGCUUGAAAUGGUCCUGGAGUCCACUGCCAAGGAGAACAGACGGAUGCGGGGCCUUCUCCAGGCCGCCCUGCAGAGGAAAGGCAUACAGUGCGCCACAGCUCCUCAAGACACUUGCUUGAGCCGCCUCUCUCAGGGAGACCUGCUAAUUGGCCAUGAUUUCAGCUAUGGUGACGUGCAGCUUCCUGCUACCAGAGUCUGCCAGAGUCUGGGGGAGUCUGUGGCAUAGAUCUCCUGUCUGAGGUGUCUGCCUCCUGCAGGCUGGUGGGUGACUUCUCUCCCCAUGCGGGCCAAUGUGACAAGGAGGCCCAUGGAAGCCACUGAGUGUCACAGGCAAGAAUGAAAUAAACCUGCCCAGGCAUC
Molecule: long non-coding RNA, 771 nt
Filed under: Rattus norvegicus (Norway rat)
Lineage: Eukaryota; Metazoa; Chordata; Mammalia; Rodentia; Muridae
Description: long non-coding RNA NONRATT000609
Source: RNAcentral